CAAAUCUUGUCGGAGUGCCUAGCGUGCUUGUGUUUCGUUUUUACGGAACCUAUGAGCGCACAGGCUGAGACCGUUAAUUCGGGAUCCGCGGAACCUGAUCGGGUUAAUACCUGCGAAGGGAACAAGAGUAAUGCACCU
This is a regulatory RNA element of 138 nucleotides. It matches the Rfam family "TPP riboswitch aptamer (THI element)". From Rfam's summary of the family: Vitamin B(1) in its active form thiamin pyrophosphate (TPP) is an essential coenzyme that is synthesised by coupling of pyrimidine and thiazole moieties in bacteria. The record is from Rfam.